AAGAUGCUAGUAAAAUCUAAUAUUACCUUGUCUCGUCAAGACAAAAUUGUAGGUUAAAAUCCUGCGCACCUUA
Molecule: transfer RNA, 73 nt
Filed under: Pseudoplatystoma magdaleniatum
Lineage: Eukaryota; Metazoa; Chordata; Actinopteri; Siluriformes; Pimelodidae
Description: tRNA-Asp
Source: RNAcentral